AGACCGGUUUAUUGGUCGUGCUUUUGUACGUACUGGUCAAAUUGGUUUCUCCUUUCUGAUGAAUCACGAUGUCAUUAAUUUGGUGUCAUGGGGAAUCAGGACUGUUACUUUGAAAAAAUUAGAGUGUUUAAAGCAGGCUUACGCUUGAAUACAUUAGCAUGGAAUAAUGAAAUAGGACGUUUAAUUCUAUUUUGUUGGUUUCUAGGAUUGACGUA
Molecule: ribosomal RNA, 215 nt
Filed under: Campeiostachys nutans
Lineage: Eukaryota; Viridiplantae; Streptophyta; Magnoliopsida; Poales; Poaceae
Description: Elymus nutans partial small subunit ribosomal RNA
Rfam family: Eukaryotic small subunit ribosomal RNA (bases 46-215)
Source: RNAcentral